This 972-nucleotide long non-coding RNA is filed under the name Nicotiana tabacum (common tobacco). RNAcentral describes it as "long non-coding RNA (NTAB_LNC005832)". Lineage: Eukaryota; Viridiplantae; Streptophyta; Magnoliopsida; Solanales; Solanaceae. The record is from RNAcentral.
CCUCACACACAGGCAUUAUUUUCUGCAUAUUCACUCACUCAAAAGAAAACUGAUAUAAGCUGAAAUUUGAAAGAAAAGUUCUUAGUAUUCAACUUCAAAAAAUCAAAAAGAAAGGGGGGGAAGGAGAUACAAAGUUAUUUUCGAAUUCUAGCAUGUUUGAUUGAUAUUUUCUGGGAUCUCAAAGAACUUUCAUGCUAUUAGGAUUGAUGUUUUUGCUGGGUUGGAAUCGGUUGCCUCUGCUUGCCGAACUUGACAUCAUCUCUACUUCGUUUUUCUUCCUUAACUGAUUCAUCUCAAAGCCUUUAUUUGGCUGUGUUAGAUUGUUGAUGUCUUUAGGUAUGUAGACUUGUAUUCUACUUUGAUUUGUAUUUAAGUAUGGGCUGUUUUAUCUGAAGUUAUCUGCUGCAUUUGUUUAAAUUUAUUGUUUGUUCGGUUUUUGCACAUGAAUUGAAUGCUUAGCUUUAAUAUAGUAACUACAUGAAGGUUCUGUUAUUUUGCCUAUGAGAAACAUGUUGAUUUCGGAGAUUUAAUGACUAAAAGAUACUGGAAAUCCGCUUGUUACAAUUAGAAUUCAGUUUAUGUGUUGUAUUAAUAGUUAUAUACUGCUCAAUUUGAGAUUGGACUAUUGAAAUCUAAGUCUCUUUCUUUUUAUGCUAAUAAGAUGUGCAAGUUUGGAUUCGUGUGAUCAAAGAUGGUCUAUCACUGUUGAAGAAUUUUAUGCCUAGAGUACCUUUAUUUGAAUUGAUAGUGAAUAGUGUUUCAAUACUACUAUUGAAACAAUAUUAUUUCUUCAUUUGAGUGUUGGCUCACGAAAUUAAUGGUGUAAUUUUGAUUUGAUAUUGGCAUGUGGAGGUUGUCAUUGGAUUUGAUCAUCAGUUGAUCAAAUCCAUUGUUGGAUAGAUUUCGAGUCUAAAUCGGAGAGUAACAAAGAGAACAAAUGCUUAUUAUAGUUGUAAUUUAAUUGAAAGGCCA